This 250-nucleotide ribosomal RNA is filed under the name uncultured bacterium. RNAcentral describes it as "partial 16S ribosomal RNA". It matches the Rfam family "Bacterial small subunit ribosomal RNA", at positions 524 to 773 of the family's 1533-position model. The record is from RNAcentral.
UACGGAGGGGGCAAGCGUUGUUCGGAAUUACUGGGCGUAAAGAGUACGUAGGCGGAUUGUUAAGUUAGAGGUGAAAUCCCAGGGCUCAACCCUGGAACUGCCUUUAAUACUGGCAAUCUAGAGAUCGAGAGAGGUGAGUGGAAUUUCCAGUGUAGAGGUGAAAUUCGUAGAUAUUGGAAAGAACACCAGUGGCGAAGGCGGCUCACUGGCUCGAUACUGACGCUGAGGUACGAAAGCGUGGGGAGCAAAC